This 557-nucleotide ribosomal RNA is filed under the name uncultured archaeon. Its description in RNAcentral is "bacterial SSU rRNA". It matches the Rfam family "Archaeal small subunit ribosomal RNA", at positions 327 to 879 of the family's 1478-position model. The record is from RNAcentral.
GGGGUGCACCAGGCGCGAAACCUUUGCCAUGCGCGAAAGCGUGACAGGGGAAUUCCGAGUGGUAGGGGGGUUUACCUCCCUAUCUUUUGGCCAAUCCAAACAAUUGGCAGAAUAAGAUCUGGGUAAGACCAGUGCCAGCCGCCGCGGUAAUACUGGCAGAGCAAGUGGUAUCCACGAAUAUUGGGUCUAAAGAGUCCGUAGCGGGCCUGUUAAGUCCACUGUGAAAUCUGGCGGCUCAACCGUCAGGCGUGCAGUGGAUACUGGCAGGCUUGGGAGUGGGGGAGGUCGGGAGUACUCACGGGGUAACGGUAAAAUGUUGUAAUCCUGUGAGGACUACCAGUGGCGAAGGCGCCCGACCAAAACACGUCCGACCGUGAGGGACGAAGGCUAGGAGAACGAAUCGGAUUAGAUACCCGAGUAGCCCUAGCGGUAAAUUAUGCAGACUGUGGUGUUGCGUCGACUUCGAGUCGGCGCAGUGCUGUAGCGUAGGUGUUAAGUCUGCCACCUGGGGAGUACGGCCGCAAGGUUGAAACUUAAAGGAAUUGGCGGGGGAGCAC